Molecule: ribosomal RNA, 793 nt
Filed under: uncultured bacterium
Lineage: Bacteria
Description: bacterial SSU rRNA
Rfam family: Bacterial small subunit ribosomal RNA
Source: RNAcentral
GCAAGUCGAGGGGAAACGACAUCGAAAGCUUGCUUUUGAUGGGCGUCGACCGGCGCACGGGUGAGUAACGCGUAUCCAACCUGCCCAUCACUUGGGGAUAACCUUGCGAAAGUAAGACUAAUACCCAAUGAUAUCUCUAGAAGACAUCUGAAAGAGAUUAAAGAUUUAUCGGUGAUGGAUGGGGAUGCGUCUGAUUAGCUUGUUGGCGGGGUAACGGCCCACCAAGGCGACGAUCAGUAGGGGUUCUGAGAGGAAGGUCCCCCACAUUGGAACUGAGACACGGUCCAAACUCCUACGGGAGGCAGCAGUGAGGAAUAUUGGUCAAUGGGCGAGAGCCUGAACCAGCCAAGUAGCGUGCAGGAUGACGGCCCUAUGGGUUGUAAACUGCUUUUAUAAGGGAAUAAAGUGAGUCUCGUGAGACUUUUUGCAUGUACCUUAUGAAUAAGGACCGGCUAAUUCCGUGCCAGCAGCCGCGGUAAUACGGAAGGUCCGGGCGUUAUCCGGAUUUAUUGGGUUUAAAGGGAGCGUAGGCCGGAGAUUAAGCGUGUUGUGAAAUGUAGACGCUCAACGUCUGCACUGCAGCGCGAACUGGUUUCCUUGAGUACGCACAAAGUGGGCGGAAUUCGUGGUGUAGCGGUGAAAUGCUUAGAUAUCACGAAGAACUCCGAUUGCGAAGGCAGCUCACUGGAGCGCAACUGACGCUGAAGCUCGAAAGUGCGGGUAUCGAACAGGAUUAGAUACCCUGGUAGUCCGCACGGUAAACGAUGGAUGCCCGCUGUUGGUCUGAAUAGGU